This 477-nucleotide ribosomal RNA is filed under the name Chthamalus angustitergum. RNAcentral describes it as "partial 16S ribosomal RNA". The record is from RNAcentral. Lineage: Eukaryota; Metazoa; Arthropoda; Thecostraca; Balanomorpha; Chthamalidae.
AUCCUUUCGUACUAAGCUAAUAAGAUAAAACCAGAAGAUAGAAACCAACCUGGCUUACGCCGGUCUGAACUCAGAUCAUGUAAAAUAUUACGGGUCGAACAGACCCUAAAAUGAAGCUACUGCACCACAUCUAAAUUUUAGUCCAACAUCGAGGUCGCAAACCUUUUUGUCGAUUAGAACUCUCAAAAAAGAUUACGCUGUUAUCCCUAAGGUAAUUUUUCUUAUUUCCUUUUUAAAGGAUCAAAUUAUUCCGUAAUAAAAGUUUAUAAAAAAAAGAGUUUUUUAUAUCUUAAUAUCGCCCCAACAAAUUACAGACUAAAAUCAAAUUGCAAAAUCUAAUACAAAAUGAAAAUUACUGUAUAAAACUCUAUAGGGUCUUCUCGUCUUCCAGGACAUUUCAGUUUUCACUGAAAAAUAAAUUCUACAAUUAUAAUAAAAAGUAAUUUCUCGUUUAGCCAUUCAUACCAGUCUCCAAUU